GAUGAACGCUGGCGGCGUGCCUAAUACAUGCAAGUCGAGCGAACAGACUAGGAGCUUGCUCCUCUGACGUUAGCGGCGGACGGGUGAGUAACACGUGGAUAACCUACCUAUAAGACUGGGAUAACUUCGGGAAACCGGUGCUAAUACCGGAUAAUAUAUUGAACCGCAUGGUUCAAUAGUGAAAUACGGUUUUGCUGUCACUUAUAGAUGGAUCCGCGCCGCAUUAGCUAGUUGGUAAGGUAACGGCUUACCAAGGCAACGAUGCGUAGCCGACCUGAGAGGGUGAUCGGCCACACUGGAACUGAGACACGGUCCAGACUCCUACGGGAGGCAGCAGUAGGGAAUCUUCCGCAAUGGGCGAAAGCUUGACGGAGCAACGCCGCGUGAGUGAUGAAGGUCUUCGGAUCGUAAAACUCUGUUAUUAGGGAAGAACAAAUGUGUAAGUAACUAUGCACGUCUUGACGGUCCCUAAUCAGAAAGCCACGGCUAACUACGUG
This 497-nucleotide ribosomal RNA is filed under the name uncultured bacterium. RNAcentral's name for it is "partial 16S ribosomal RNA". It matches the Rfam family "Bacterial small subunit ribosomal RNA", at positions 28 to 507 of the family's 1533-position model. The record is from RNAcentral.